GCCUCAGACAUGCAAGUCGAACGCGAAAUUUCCCCGCAAGGGGAGAAAGUAGAGUGGCGUCCGGGCGAGUAACACGUAGGUAAUCUACCUUUGGGUGGGGAAUAACAACCGGAAACGGUUGCUAAUACCGCAUAAUGCAGCGGCACCGCAUGGUGACAGUUGUUAAAGCGGGGGAUCGCAAGACCUCGCGCCUGAAGAGGAGCCUGCGGCGGAUUAGCUAGUUGGUAAGGUAACGGCUUACCAAGGCAACGAUCCGUAGCCGGCCUGAGAGGGCGGUCGGCCACACUGACACUGACAUACGGGUCAGACUCCUACGGGAGGCAGCAGUCGGGAAUUUUGGGCAAUGGGCGAAAGCCUGACCCAGCAACGCCGCGUGAAGGAUGAAAUCCCUCGGGAUGUAAACUUCGCAAGAACGGGAAGAAUAAGUAGGGGACAAUACCCCCUAUGAUGACGGUACCGUUUGUAAGCUCCGGCUAACUCCGUGCCAGCAGCCGCGGUAAUACGGGGGGAGCAAGCGUUGUUCGGAUUUACUGGGCGUAAAGGGCGCGUAGGCGGCCUGUGCAAGUCAGUUGUGAAAUCUCCGAGCUUAACUCGGAAAGGUCAACUGAUACUGCUCGGCUAGAGUGCGGAAGGGGCAACUGGAAUUCUUGGUGUAGCGGUGAAAUGCGUAGAUAUCAAGAGGAACACCUGCGGCGAAGGCGGGUUGCUGGGCCGACACUGACGCUGAGGCGCGAAAGCUA
RNAcentral lists this ribosomal RNA (740 nucleotides) under uncultured soil bacterium. RNAcentral's name for it is "bacterial SSU rRNA". It matches the Rfam family "Bacterial small subunit ribosomal RNA", at positions 46 to 762 of the family's 1533-position model. The record is from RNAcentral.